Homo sapiens (human) is the source of this 439-nucleotide long non-coding RNA. Ensembl annotates it as long intergenic non-protein coding RNA 2643. The record is from Ensembl. NCBI's taxonomy places the organism in Eukaryota, Metazoa, Chordata, Mammalia, Primates, Hominidae.
AUUGUCCCAACAAGGCUGUGCAAGAAACAAUCAGGAAAGCUCAGCAGCAUAAAACUAUGAGAAAACUGGGUCUGAGAAUCCAGAUGUCCUGAGUGAGUAAAGGGAAAAUUUUCACUUCUUCCUAUGGAAGCCUGUCACCCCCCAACUCCAUCCUAGGCUGAGGAAGUCUGCGUUCUUCUCUCACGGAGCUGGAGAACCUUUCAAGUGAUUGGCCUAAGAACAGGCAGGAGACGCGAUCUGGACCAAUCAGAAACUUACAUUGAGAUGGUGGGCCUUGCUAUGUUGCUCAGGCUGGUCUUGAACUCCUGACCUCAAGUGAUCCUCCUGCCUCAGCCUCCUUGAGUAACUGGAAUUACAGGGCUCAUUCCAGUGGUCUAGGCUGCAGCUCCUGGUUGGAGUCACAUCCAGCCAUGCUUUCUGUGCCCUGAUCAGCUGGAUU